This 464-nucleotide ribosomal RNA is filed under the name uncultured bacterium. RNAcentral's name for it is "partial 16S ribosomal RNA". It matches the Rfam family "Bacterial small subunit ribosomal RNA", at positions 29 to 507 of the family's 1533-position model. The record is from RNAcentral.
ACGAACGCUGGCGGCGUGCUUAACACAUGCCAGUCGAGCGGUAAGGCCCCUUCGGGGGUACACGAGCGGCGAACGGGUGAGUAACACGUGAGCAAUCUGCCCAUCACAUCGGGAUAACUCCGGGAAACCGAAGCUAAUACCGAAUACGACCACCUCCGGCAUCGGAUGGUGGUGGAAAGUUCCGGCGGUGAUGGAUGAGCUCGCGGCCUAUCAGCUUGUUGGUGGGGUAACGGCCCACCAAGGCUUCGACGGGUAGCCGGCCUGAGAGGGUGACCGGCCACACUGGGACUGAGACACGGCCCAGACUCCUACGGGAGGCAGCAGUGGGGAAUAUUGGACAAUGGGCGAAAGCCUGAUCCAGCAACGCCGCGUGAGGGAUGACGGCCUUCGGGUUGUAAACCUCUUUCAGCAGGGACGAAGCGCAAGUGACGGUACCUGCAGAAGAAGCACCGGCCAACUACGUG